UACGAAGGGGGCUAGCGUUGUUCGGAAUUACUGGGCGUAAAGCGCGCGUAGGCGGCUUGUUAAGUCGGAUGUGAAAUCCCUGGGCUCAACCUAGGCAUUGCAUUCGAUACUGGCAAGCUAGAGUAUGGGAGAGGAAGGUAGAAUUCCAGGUGUAGCGGUGAAAUGCGUAGAUAUCUGAAGGAACAUCAGUGGCGAAAGCGACUUCCUGGACCAAUACUGACGCUCAUGUGCGAAAGCGUGGGGAGCAAACAGG
Molecule: ribosomal RNA, 253 nt
Filed under: uncultured bacterium
Lineage: Bacteria
Description: partial 16S ribosomal RNA
Rfam family: Bacterial small subunit ribosomal RNA
Source: RNAcentral